Molecule: ribosomal RNA, 468 nt
Filed under: uncultured bacterium
Lineage: Bacteria
Description: partial 16S ribosomal RNA
Rfam family: Bacterial small subunit ribosomal RNA
Source: RNAcentral
GACGAACGCUGGCGGCGUGCUUAACACAUGCAAGUCGAACGGAAAGGCCCUGCUUUUGUGGGGUGCUCGAGUGGCGAACGGGUGAGUAACACGUGAGUAACCUGCCCCUGACUUUGGGAUAACUUCAGGAAACUGGGGCUAAUAUCGGAUAGGAGCUCCUGCUGCAUGGUGGGGGUUGGAAAGUUUCGGCGGUUGGGGAUGGACUCGCGGCUUAUCAGCUUGUUGGUGGGGUAGUGGCUUACCAAGGCUUUGACGGGUAGCCGGCCUGAGAGGGUGACCGGCCACAUUGGGACUGAGAUACGGCCCAGACUCCUACGGGAGGCAGCAGUGGGGAAUAUUGCACAAUGGGCGGAAGCCUGAUGCAGCAACGCCGCGUGCGGGAUAACGGCCUUCGGGUUGUAAACCGCUUUCGCCUGUGACGAAGCGUGAGUGACGGUAAUGGGUAAAGAAGCACCGGCUAACUACGUG